CUAGUGACGCUGUAGAAUUCGGCAAACUAAAUUUGUUAUAGAGAAUUGUAAGCCGAAUGAUAUAAAGUUCCAUAUUUAGUGUAAGCCGUUCCCUUUCUCCUGUUUCUCAAGCCACAACCAUUCUCAUGGGGGUGUACAAAAUUGGUCCUAAUAACAAAGCAUAAAUUCAAAAGUAAAUGCCCUAGAUACAGCACAAUAUCUCUGUAAAUAACUUUCAACAGUAUAAUCAAUGAAGAAGCGCCCUAUAUUUUUACUGGUGACUAGAAAUUCAACACUAAUAUAUGCUUGCGCCGUGUUAUCAUAUUUCAUGUACGUAUUCAUUUGAAAGACUACGUAAUGUGUAAACGUUGUGCUUGACGUAGUAUAUUCGUUUUUUUUUUUAUUUCCUUUUAUUAUCGACAGAACGACAGAAAAAAUAAAUAAAUUUUGUCACUGGAAAAACAUUGACCCGUUACCAUUCAAUGGCCAUCGGGAAUGUACAGAGCCCACAUUAUCGUCUGAUUUUAAUUCCCUUAACAAUUUUACUGUAUUAGACGACUUAAGAACCCAUAUCGAAAUGAAUAACUGCCACAAUUGUCGAGGGAAUUUCGAUUAUUUUCCGAUACAUUUUCACUGACGUUUCGCAAUCACUGUACUCGAUUCUUAAAAACGAAGGUUGUGUUGCUUAAGUUAAGUAUGCAUGUAGCAUUGUAGCAUAUACAAUACCAUUCGGUUUGAACAUUAAAAAGAUGCGUGAUCAGACAUUUUUUUCAUAUGAUUUGUAUUCGUAUUGGUUAUGCCUUGUGUUUCUUGUAUGCGAGUGUGUCUGUGUGUGCCUGUGUCUGGCUCGUGUUCAAAUCAAUGUUCAAUGUCAGUCACAAUUGAGCAUGUCUAAG
Bradysia coprophila is the source of this 875-nucleotide long non-coding RNA. The record is from RefSeq and is a predicted model, not a curated record. Lineage: Eukaryota; Metazoa; Arthropoda; Insecta; Diptera; Sciaridae.